GGCAAAGAGCAGUGGAGCACCUCCCCUUCCAGAAGAAAGUAGGACAGCCGGUUUGAGGCAAAAUACUGAGGAAGCGCUUUUGUCCUACUUCCGCUUUUUUCUUUAUCUCAAAGGAAGUUCUGGUUGUGGCACCUCCUACGCCACACCUUGUGUUGGGAAAUGGGAGCACAAACUAAUCUUAAAAGUCCAGAGGCGUCUCUCAUCUGCUCUCCUUGAGUGGCACAGGAAUCCAUCCCCAUGGCCAAAGGCAGCAGCAACAGCUACAGCAGGCUGAAACAACAGAGGGGAUGACUUGAGCUCACUGGAAGCAUCAGUUUCUCUUCCAGACAAGACAAAGACAAGCCUGAAAAAGGAUCUUGAGUUCUCCAUUGAAUGAUCUUUACUCUCCUGCUGGUCUCCUCACUGAGGCAGGAGGGGUGUGGUUUCAAGACUCGAGCUCAAACCGGGAAAAAGUCAUUUUUGCCUCAGGACCCACGUCGCAGAA
Molecule: long non-coding RNA, 484 nt
Organism: Lagenorhynchus albirostris (white-beaked dolphin)
Lineage: Eukaryota; Metazoa; Chordata; Mammalia; Artiodactyla; Delphinidae
Exons: 4
Source: RefSeq, a predicted model, not a curated record